AAUGAACGUUGGCGGCGUGGAUUAGGCAUGCAAGUCGUGCGAGAAACCAAGUAGCUUGCUACGAGGUGGACAGCGGCGAAAGGGAGAGUAACGCGUGGUUACGUGCCCUCGAGACCGGGAUAGUGUCGGGAAACUGGCAGUAAUACCGGAUAACAUCUUCGGAUCAAAUGGUGUGAUUCCGCUCGAGGAUCGGACCGCGUACUAUUAGCUUGUUGGCGGGGUAAUGGCCCACCAAGGCUGCGAUGGUUACCGGGUGUGAGAGCAUGGCCCGGCUCACUGGGACUGAGACACUGCCCAGACAUCUACGGAUGGCUGCAGUCGAGAAUCUUCGGCAAUGGACGAAAGUCUGACCGAGCGACGCCGCGUGCGGGAUGAAGGCCCUCGGGUUGUAAACCGCUGUCAGUUGGGAGGAAAUUCCAUCGGGUUCUCUCGAUGGAUUGACCAAUCUUCAAAGGAAGGACGGGCUAAGUUCGUG
Molecule: ribosomal RNA, 475 nt
Filed under: uncultured bacterium
Lineage: Bacteria
Description: bacterial SSU rRNA
Rfam family: Bacterial small subunit ribosomal RNA
Source: RNAcentral